Molecule: microRNA precursor, 196 nt
Organism: Oryza sativa Japonica Group (Japanese rice)
Lineage: Eukaryota; Viridiplantae; Streptophyta; Magnoliopsida; Poales; Poaceae
Rfam family: MIR812 microRNA precursor family
Source: Rfam
AAUAAAAUAAAUCCUGAGUUUCCGUAUUCAAUGUUUGACUGUCCGUCUUAUAUAAUUUUUUUUUAUAAUUAGUAUUUCCAUUGUUGUUAGAUGAUAAAAUAUAAUUAAUACUUUAUGCGUGACUUGUCUUUUUAUUUUUUUAUAAUUUUUUUAAAUAAGACGGACGGUCAAACGUUGAAUACGGAAACUCAGUGUU